UCUAUACAUGACUCUGCGCAUAUCAAUAAGCGGAGGAAAAGAUAAUGCUACUACCUACGCUUAGGAUGUUGACGAGACUGUCGAUCUCAUCUAUACAUGACUCUGCGCAUAUCAAUAAGCGGAGGAAAAGAAACUAACUAGGAUUCCCUCAGUAACGGCGAGUGAAGCGGGAAGAGCUCAAAUUUGAAAUCUUCAAGGUUCUACCUUGACGAAUUGUAGUUUAAAGAAGUGUUUUCUGUUGGAGUUUUGGUAAAAGUUCUUUGGAAUAGGACAUCAUAGAGGGUGAGAAUCCCGUAUUUGACCAUUAUUUCCAGCUGUGUGAUACACUUUCAAAGAGUCGGAUUGUUCGGGAAUGCAGUCCAAAAUGGGUGGUAAAUUUCAUCUAAAGCUAAAUAUUGGCGAGAGACCGAUAGCGAACAAGUACCGUGAGGGAAAGAUGAAAAGAACUUUGAAAAGAGAGUUAAACAGUACGUGAAAUUGUCAAAAGGGAAGCGUUUGACACCAGUGUUGUUUAGUUGAAAAUCAAUUCAAUAAUUUUCGAUUUUGAGUAGUAUUGACUUCAUCAGCUUGCUGCUUUCUUUUCGGAAAUUAUUGAAUGCACUUUUCAGUUAACAAGUCAACAUCAAUUUCUUUUGUUGUAAGAGGGUAAGAGGAAGGUGGCUUACGCUUCGGCGUAAGUGUUUAUAGCCUUUUACCUCUGCAAUCGGAGAGAUUGAGGACAGCAGCGUAGAUCCUUCGGGGUUAGAUACGUUUGUGCUAAGUUAUAGCUUUUCAUAGACAACUUGUUGACUAUGUUUAGUCUUGUAGCUUACUCGCUGACGCUAUUUUACCUACGCUUAGGAUGUUGACGAGACUGUCGAUCUC
RNAcentral lists this ribosomal RNA (864 nucleotides) under uncultured Neocallimastigales. RNAcentral describes it as "partial large subunit ribosomal RNA". It matches the Rfam family "Eukaryotic large subunit ribosomal RNA", at positions 1 to 646 of the family's 3401-position model. The record is from RNAcentral. Lineage: Eukaryota; Fungi; Neocallimastigomycota; Neocallimastigomycetes; Neocallimastigales.